RNAcentral lists this ribosomal RNA (620 nucleotides) under uncultured soil bacterium. Its description in RNAcentral is "bacterial SSU rRNA". It matches the Rfam family "Bacterial small subunit ribosomal RNA", at positions 424 to 1059 of the family's 1533-position model. The record is from RNAcentral.
CGUAAACUGCUUUUAUAUGUGACGAAUAUGACGGUAGCAUAUGAAUAAGGAUCGGCUAACUCCGUGCCAGCAGCCGCGGUCAUACGGAGGAUCCAAGCGUUAUCCGGAAUUACUGGGCGUAAAGAGUUGCGUAGGUGGCAUAGUAAGCGGGUAGUGAAAGCGUGUGGCUCAACCAUACUCACAUUAUCUGAACUGCUAAGCUAGAGGACGAGAGAGGUUAUUGGAAUUCCCAGUGUAGGAGUGAAAUCCGUAGAUAUUGGGAGGAACACCGAUGGCGUAGGCAGAUAACUGGCUCGUUCCUGACACUAAGGCACGAAAGCGUGGGUAGCAAACGGGAUUAGAUACCCCGGUAGUCCACGCCGUAAACGAUGGAUGCUAGCUGUAUUCGGUAUCGACCCCGGAUGUAGCGAAGCUAACGCGUUAAGCAUCCCGCCUGUGGAGUACGGUCGCAAGACUAAAACAUAAAGGAAUUGACGGGGACCCGCACAAGCGGUGGAGCGUGUUGUUUAAUUCGAUGGUAAGCGAAGAACCUUACCCAGGCUUGACAUCCUGCGAAUUUCUCCGAAAGGAGAGAGUGCUUUAUUGAACGCAGUGACAGGUGAUGCAUGGCCGUCGUCAGC